Molecule: ribosomal RNA, 463 nt
Filed under: uncultured bacterium
Lineage: Bacteria
Description: bacterial SSU rRNA
Rfam family: Bacterial small subunit ribosomal RNA
Source: RNAcentral
ACCUACGGGAGGCAGCAGUGAGGAAUAUUGGUCAAUGGGCGCGAGCCUGAACCAGCCAUCCCGCGUGCAGGAAGAAGGCCCUAUGGGUUGUAAACUGCUUUUGUGCAGGAAUAAAUGUACCCUCGUGAGGGUAUUUGAAGGUACUGCGUGAAUAAGCACCGGCUAACUCCGUGCCAGCAGCCGCGGUAAUACGGAGGGUGCAAGCGUUAUCCGGAUUUAUUGGGUUUAAAGGGUGCGUAGGCGGCAUUUUAAGUCAGUGGUGAAAACCUGCAGCUCAACUGUAGAACUGCCAUUGAAACUGAAGUGCUUGAGUUAUCUUGAGGUAGGCGGAAUGUGUAGUGUAGCGGUGAAAUGCUUAGAUAUUACACAGAACACCGAUUGCGAAGGCAGCUUACUAAGGAUAAACUGACGCUCAGGCACGAAAGCGUGGGGAUCGAACAGGAUUAGAUACCCCGGUAGUCCC